Molecule: ribosomal RNA, 796 nt
Filed under: Prymnesium pigrum
Lineage: Eukaryota; Haptophyta; Prymnesiales; Prymnesiaceae
Description: eukaryotic LSU rRNA
Rfam family: Eukaryotic large subunit ribosomal RNA
Source: RNAcentral
ACCCCCCGAAUUGUAGUCUAGAAAGGCGCGAUCGGCCGCGUCCGCCGCUCAAAUCCCCUGGAACGGGGUAUCGGAGAAGGUGAGAAUCCUGUGCCGUGGCGGUUCGCGGUCGCACGAUGCGUCCUUGCAGAGUCGGGUUGCUUGGGAUUGCAGCUUGAAUUGGGUGGUAAAUUCCAUCUAAAGCUAAAUACUGGCGAGAGACCGAUAGCGAACAAGUACCGUGAGGGAAAGAUGCAAAGAACUUUGAAAAGAGAGUUAAAGAGUGCUUGAAAUCGACAAGGGGAAACCCGUUUGCGCCCGGUUUGUACGCGUGAAUUCAGCCGUCUCCGCGGAGGCGGUGCACUUUGACGCGUCGAGUCAGCGUUUGCUGCGCGGGUGUGAGACGCUGUUUGUUGAGGCUUCGGCGAGGCACUCGGCAUGGCACGCGCGCGGCGAUGGUUGACGGAACGGGCGCAACCGACCCGUCUAGAAACACGGACCAAGGAGUCUGACACGUGUGCGAGUACCCGGGUGGCAAGCCCGCGUGCGGAAUGAAAGUGAAGGGCGUGUUCGACGCCAACCGACCUUGAUCUUCUGUGAAGGGUUUGAGUGGAGCACACUUGUCGGGACCCGAAAGAUGGUGAACUAUGCCUGAGGAGGGUGAAGCCAGAGGAAACUCUGGUGGAGGCUCGUAGCGAUACUGACGUGCAAAUCGUUCGUCGAACUUGGGUAUAGGGGCGAAAGACUAAUCGAACCAUCUAGUAGCUGGUUCCCUCCGAAGUUUCCCUCAGGAUAGCUUGAGCGCGUACGGUUUUGU